CAUUGAAACACCAGUUCUCAUACAAUCACCAAAGUUAAGCAAUGUUGAGCCCUGUCAGUACCUAGAUGGGUGACUGCUUAGGAAUACCAGGUGCUGUAAG
Non-coding RNA from Acanthosepion pharaonis, 100 nucleotides. The record is from the annotation of a GenBank genome assembly. Lineage: Eukaryota; Metazoa; Mollusca; Cephalopoda; Sepiida; Sepiidae.